This 727-nucleotide ribosomal RNA is filed under the name Halomonas sp. Ms33_20B. RNAcentral's name for it is "bacterial SSU rRNA". It matches the Rfam family "Bacterial small subunit ribosomal RNA", at positions 28 to 754 of the family's 1533-position model. The record is from RNAcentral. Lineage: Bacteria; Pseudomonadati; Pseudomonadota; Gammaproteobacteria; Oceanospirillales; Halomonadaceae.
GAUGAACGCUGCGGCAGCCUAACACAUGCAAGUCGAGCGGUAACAGAUCUAGCUUGCUGGAUGCUGACGAGCGGCGGACGGGUGAGUAAUGCAUAGGAAUCUGCCCGAUAGUGGGGGAUAACCUGGGGAAACCCAGGCUAAUACCGCAUACGUCCUACGGGAGAAAGGGGGCUCCGGCUCCCGCUAUGGGAUGAGCCUAUGUCGGAUUAGCUAGUUGGUGAGGUAACGGCUCACCAAGGCCACGAUCCGUAGCUGGUCUGAGAGGAUGAUCAGCCACAUCGGGACUGAGACACGGCCCGAACUCCUACGGGAGGCAGCAGUGGGGAAUAUUGGACAAUGGGGGCAACCCUGAUCCAGCCAUGCCGCGUGUGUGAAGAAGGCCCUCGGGUUGUAAAGCACUUUCAGCGAGGAAGAACGCCUAGCGGUUAAUACCCGCUAGGAAAGACAUCACUCGCAGAAGAAGCACCGGCUAACUCCGUGCCAGCAGCCGCGGUAAUACGGAGGGUGCAAGCGUUAAUCGGAAUUACUGGGCGUAAAGCGCGCGUAGGUGGCUUGAUAAGCCGGUUGUGAAAGCCCCGGGCUCAACCUGGGAACGGCAUCCGGAACUGUCAAGCUAGAGUGCAGGAGAGGAAGGUAGAAUUCCCGGUGUAGCGGUGAAAUGCGUAGAGAUCGGGAGGAAUACCAGUGGCGAAGGCGGCCUUCUGGACUGACACUGACACUGAGGUGC